GUGUUCGGCCUUACGUUUCUUCAC
Molecule: non-coding RNA, 24 nt
Filed under: Arabidopsis thaliana (thale cress)
Lineage: Eukaryota; Viridiplantae; Streptophyta; Magnoliopsida; Brassicales; Brassicaceae
Source: RNAcentral